Molecule: transfer RNA, 70 nt
Filed under: Galerucinae sp. 1 ACP-2013
Lineage: Eukaryota; Metazoa; Arthropoda; Insecta; Coleoptera; Chrysomelidae
Description: tRNA-Lys
Source: RNAcentral
UCAUUAGAUGGCUGAAAGCAAGCAAUGAAAUUUUAAAUCAUAUAAUAAUAUAAUAGCAAAUAUUUCUAAU